RNAcentral lists this ribosomal RNA (253 nucleotides) under uncultured bacterium. RNAcentral's name for it is "partial 16S ribosomal RNA". It matches the Rfam family "Bacterial small subunit ribosomal RNA", at positions 524 to 776 of the family's 1533-position model. The record is from RNAcentral.
UACGGGGGGGGCAAGCGUUGUUCGGAAUUACUGGGCGUAAAGGGCGCGUAGGCGGCCUUCUAAGUCGGACGUGAAAUCCCUCGGCUCAACCGAGGAACUGCGUCUGAUACUGGAAGGCUUGAAUCCGGGAGAGGGAUGUGGAAUUCCAGGUGUAGCGGUGAAAUGCGUAGAUAUCUGGAGGAACACCAAUGGCGAAGGCAGCUCGCUGGAACGGUACUGACGCUGAGGCGCGAAAGCGUGGGGAGCGAACAGG